Molecule: ribosomal RNA, 253 nt
Filed under: uncultured bacterium
Lineage: Bacteria
Description: partial 16S ribosomal RNA
Rfam family: Bacterial small subunit ribosomal RNA
Source: RNAcentral
UACGUAGGGGGCGAGCGUUGUCCGGAAUCAUUGGGCGUAAAGCGCGUGUAGGCGGUUCGGUAAGUCUGCUGUGAAAGUCCAGGGCUCAACCCUGGGAUGCCGGUGGAUACUGCCAAACUAGAGUGCGGAAGAGGCGAGUGGAAUUCCCGGUGUAGCGGUGAAAUGCGCAGAUAUCGGGAGGAACACCAAUUGCGAAGGCAGCUCGCUGGGACGUUACUGACGCUGAGACGCGAAAGCGUGGGGAGCAAACAGG